UUGAGAAUGGGCGCCCCUCUUCUCUCUGCUCCGCCCCUGCCCGCCAUUUCGUGCUCCGGCGUCUUUCCUGGGCCGAUGUGCGCGGCCUCCGUGUGAUGGACGCCCGGAAGCCGGUAUAACGAAGUCCGUAGUGCUGAGGCUGCGCGGGCUGCAGGUUCUGCCGCUGCGCGCGGCGCCCGAAAACGGGGGAAAGUGGGCACCUGUGUCGCCUCCGGGAUGGGCCUGCGGGCCAGCCUCUGCGUGCACGGCCUGGCAUGCCUAGUGCUUGUGGAGGCUUGAAGAAGGCAUCAGAUCCCUUGGAACUGGAGUUACAGGUGCUGGGUAUCCCAAUCUGGGACCUCUAGUUGGCUGUGGUCCCCAUGUCACUCAGGCAUGGCAUCAAGCGCUGGGACCCAGAAGGAAGGCGGAAGAGGGGACCGGCCGGGAAAAGAUGGCUCGGAGACCGAAGGAAGCAUACACCUACAGAUUAGAGGAAUUGACAGAUUUGUGGACUGAUUUUUUCCCCCUAAGACAGGAUUUCUCUGUGUAACUUUGAAGCCUGUCCUGGUACUCACUCUGUAGCCCAAGCUGGUCUUGAAUUCACAGAGAUCCCACCUGCAUCUGCCUCCCGAGUGCUGGGAUUAAAGGCGUGUGCUACCAGUGCCUGGCGAAUUUUUGGUUUUCCAACAGUCUUCUGUAGUCAGUCAAUGCUGGCUUCAAGGAUGGUCCUGAACUCCUUCCUAGUCUUCCUGUCUCUACCUCCUAAAUUCUGGGAUCACAGG
Arvicola amphibius (Eurasian water vole) is the source of this 761-nucleotide long non-coding RNA. RefSeq lists it as uncharacterized. The record is from RefSeq and is a predicted model, not a curated record. The transcript is spliced from 3 exons. NCBI's taxonomy places the organism in Eukaryota, Metazoa, Chordata, Mammalia, Rodentia, Cricetidae.